RNAcentral lists this ribosomal RNA (585 nucleotides) under uncultured Bacteroidota bacterium. RNAcentral's name for it is "bacterial SSU rRNA". It matches the Rfam family "Bacterial small subunit ribosomal RNA", at positions 338 to 916 of the family's 1533-position model. The record is from RNAcentral. Lineage: Bacteria; Pseudomonadati; Bacteroidota.
CCUACGGGAGGCAGCAGUGAGGANUAUUGGACCAAUGGAGGCAACUCUGAUCCCAGCCAUGCCGCGUGCAGGAAUGACGGGCCCUAUGGGUUGUAAACUGCUUUUAUGUAGGAAGAAACACUCUCACGUGUGAGAGCUUGACGGUACUACAAGAAUAAGGACCGGCUAACUCCGUGCCAGCAGCCGCGGUAAUACGGAGGGUCCAAGCGUUAUCCGGAAUCAUUGGGUUUAAAGGGUCCGUAGGCGGGCUAUUAAGUCAGAGGUGAAAGUUUGCAGCUCAACUGUAAAAUUGCCUUUGAAACUGGUAGUCUUGAAUUAUUAUGAAGUUGGUUAGAAUAAGUANUGUAGCGGUGAAAUGCAUAGAUAUUACUUAGAAUACCAAUUGCGAAGGCAGAUCACUAAUAAUAUAUUGACGCUUGAGGGGACGAAAAGCGUUGGGGAGCGAACAGGAUUAGAUACCCUGGUAGUCCACGCCGUAAACGAUGGAUACUAGCUGUUCGGAUUUAUCUGAGUGGCUAAGCGAAAGUGAUAAGUAUCCCACCUGGGGAGUACGUUCGCAAGAAUGAAACUCAAAGGAAUUGACGG